This is a long non-coding RNA of Symphalangus syndactylus (siamang), 1602 nucleotides long. RefSeq lists it as uncharacterized. Lineage: Eukaryota; Metazoa; Chordata; Mammalia; Primates; Hylobatidae. The record is from RefSeq and is a predicted model, not a curated record.
GAAUAUGACUGACUUGCCCAAGGUCAUAAAGUUAGUAAGCUAGAGCUGGGUUCUAUGGAAGUCACUAUUUUCUACCACCCAGAUCCCCCUUCAGGAUUGAAGCCUUACUCCUCCAGCUGCUGAGAGUGCCAUUGGCUGACAGCCCUCAGCUGUCACCCUCUCUGCUCAUUGCCUUUUAUUGACAGGGUUCAAAGCAGAGGUUACACACAUUUUGAAAAGCAGCUCCUGGUAUGCUUUGGGACUGUACCUGUUAGUCAUCCAAUGGUGAUGAAGCCAGAACUGCCCAUCGUGAACUUCUUACUGUCAGACCCAACACGUUAUAAGGUUUAGCAGUCUUGGCUUCGAAAGGGAGAAAGCUUCCACCAGGGGACACAGCAGGGUCCCAUUGAACUCUAAGCUAUGGUUACUGGUGGGGUACUUCAGAUUCCAUGUGCUGAGGAACCACCGUCUUAGCAGCACUAUUUGAUCCUGAUCAAGAAGAGGAGGGCUGCUCUUUCACAAUGGAAGCAGGAAGACCUAUUUUUACCACCCAGGCCUUGGAAAGUGUUCCAGGAAUGGACUUUCUGCAGUAUGAUGACCUGCAAAAGCAGCCCUUCCAUUUACAUUUCAAACUCCAAGUCAGCCGUGUCAAAGUUUGAACCAGGACUGUGGAGGAUAAUGGGUCAGAUGCAAUUAGCAGCCCAGAGAACCGCACGUUGCAGUCUGAUUUAUUUUUUUUGCCCAUCAGAUUCCAAGAAUCCUAGUGCUUAAAAGCAACUAAACAAUCGCUCUAUUGUACUGAAAUAAAGCCCAGUUAAUUCAGAAAUCAAUUGCACCACCAGGUGGGGCACACUCUGGCCCCAAACAGAUGGGGUUGAAAACUCCCCCCAAAAUGCAGUCUUGUUAAAUUAAAAACUUGAUCCAGGAGUGGAACAAAUAGGGAGCCAUGAAUGGAAUGGAGUCAGGUCCACUCAGGCGGAUUCUUUCUUCUCCCACUCCUUUUCCUUUAAAAAAGAAAAUUCCCCAUUUCACUUUCAUCAGUGUUAGCAUCUAUGCAGAAACGCAGCCAUCCACCCUUUGCAGUUGAAUGUGUUACUUUAAUUAGUCUGAAAAUUAAAGGGCAACUCCGGGCCAAUGUGAAUGAUUAUGAAAAUACAUGUGCAUCCCAUGCAAUCUUCUCAUUUAAUUAAUAGUCUUGUAAACUAUAUGGCUCACUUUAAGUCAGUCAAGAGGUAUAACAACUCCAUUUUAAAUAUCCACUUAAUACUUAACAGGAUGUGAGGAACACACUAUAGCAUACGGUCCCUUCUCAAGUUUCACUGUCUGAAAUUUUUCAAAGCUGACCCAAGUCAACCCGAAAAAUGUUUAACACCCUGGGCUUGAACACAAGAAACUCUGUGAUGAACAGACAUUCAAUUACAUUUUUUAAAAGUGAGAAGCAUUUUUGUAAAAUAGCGACUCUGGAAACUAAUUGGCAGCCGCAAAACCUGUGAGCAAAGGCCAAAUCUUGUGGGGAACUUUUACUACAGUAACACGACUCAAAGAAAAUGUGAAUAAAAGGCAUCUUUGUUUCCCAGUCAAAUUAGCUGAUUAAGAAAUAAAACAUCUUAACAUGUUUUUAAA